Molecule: microRNA, 20 nt
Filed under: Corchorus capsularis
Lineage: Eukaryota; Viridiplantae; Streptophyta; Magnoliopsida; Malvales; Malvaceae
Description: sRNA CCACVL1_13503
Source: RNAcentral
GGAUGUUUUUUUUCCUUUUC